AGCAGCCGCGGUAAUUCCAGCUCCAAUAGCGUAUAUUAAAGUUGCUGCAGUUAAAAAGCUCGUAGUUGAAUUUCGGGACUAAUAUGUCGGUCGUGCCUCGGUACGUACUGGUUUAUUGGUUUCUCCUUUCUGAAGAACCAUGAUGUCAUUUAUUUGGUGUCGUGGGGAAUCAGGACUGUUACUUUAAAAAAUUAGAGUGUUUAAAGCAGGCUCACGCUUGAAUACAUUAGCAUGGAAUAAUGAAAUAGGACGUUUGAUUCUAUUUUGUUGGUUUCUAGGAUCGACGUAAUGAUUAAUAGGGAUAGUUGGGGGCAUUAGUAUUCAAUUGUCAGAGGUGAAAUUCUUGGAUUUAUUGAAGACUAACUACUGCGAAAGCAUUUGCCAAGGAUGUUUUCAUUAAUCAAGAACGAAAGUUAGGGGAUCGAAGACGAUCAGAUACCGUCGUAGUCUUAACCAUAAACUAUGCCGACUAGGGAUCGGAUGAUGUUAAUUUUUAAUGACUCAUUCGGCGCCUUACGGG
RNAcentral lists this unclassified non-coding RNA (520 nucleotides) under uncultured Glomus. RNAcentral's name for it is "SSU rRNA". It matches the Rfam family "Eukaryotic small subunit ribosomal RNA", at positions 569 to 1094 of the family's 1831-position model. Lineage: Eukaryota; Fungi; Glomeromycota; Glomeromycetes; Glomerales; Glomeraceae. The record is from RNAcentral.